This 913-nucleotide ribosomal RNA is filed under the name uncultured bacterium. RNAcentral's name for it is "bacterial SSU rRNA". It matches the Rfam family "Bacterial small subunit ribosomal RNA", at positions 246 to 1155 of the family's 1533-position model. The record is from RNAcentral.
UAGUUGGUGGGGUAAAGGCCUACCAAGGCGACGAUCAGUAGCGGGUCUGAGAGGAUGAUCCGCCACACUGGAACUGAGACACGGUCCAGACUCCUACGGGAGGCAGCAGUGGGGAAUUUUGGACAAUGGGGGCAACCCUGAUCCAGCCAUUCCGCGUGAGUGAAGAAGGCCUUCGGGUUGUAAAGCUCUUUCAGCUGGAACGAAACGGUACAUCCUAAUACGGUGUGCUAAUGACGGUACCAGCAGAAGAAGCACCGGCUAACUACGUGCCAGCAGCCGCGGUAAUACGUAGGGUGCGAGCGUUAAUCGGAAUUACUGGGCGUAAAGCGUGCGCAGGCGGAUUGUUAAGCAAGAUGUGAAAUCCCCGGGCUUAACCUGGGAAUGGCAUUUUGAACUGGCAGUCUAGAGUGUGUCAGAGGGGGGUGGAAUUCCACGUGUAGCAGUGAAAUGCGUAGAGAUGUGGAGGAACACCAAUGGCGAAGGCAGCCCCCUGGGAUAACACUGACGCUCAUGUACGAAAGCGUGGGUAGCAAACAGGAUUAGAUACCCUGGUAGUCCACGCCCUAAACGAUGUCAACUGGUUGUUGGGGGAGUGAAAUCCCUUAGUAACGAAGCUAACGCGUGAAGUUGACCGCCUGGGGAGUACGGUCGCAAGAUUAAAACUCAAAGGAAUUGACGGGGACCCGCACAAGCGGUGGAUGAUGUGGAUUAAUUCGAUGCAACGCGAAAAACCUUACCUACCCUUGACAUGUCCAGAAUCCUGCAGAGAUGCGGGAGUGCCCGAAAGGGAAUUGGAACACAGGUGCUGCAUGGCUGUCGUCAGCUCGUGUCGUGAGAUGUUGGGUUAAGUCCCGCAACGAGCGCAACCCUUAUCAUUAGUUGCUACGCAAGGGCACUCUAAUGAGACUGCCGG